GAUGAACGCUGGCGGCGUGCCUAACACAUGCAAGUCGAGCGUGAUUGUGUGGAUUGAAGCUUCGGCAGAGAGAAACACAUGAAAGCGGCGGACGGGUGAGUAACGCGUGGGCAACCUGCCCCGUACAGCGGAAUAGCCACUGGAAACGGUGAUUAAUGCCGCAUAAGACCCCGGUGUCGCAUGACACAGCGGUAAAAGAUUUAUCGGUAUGGGAUGGGCCCGCGUCUGAUUAGCUAGUUGGUGAGGUAACGGCUCACCAAGGCGACGAUCAGUAGCCGACCUGAGAGGGCGGACGGCCACACUGGAACUGAGACACGGUCCAGACUCCUACGGGAGGCAGCAGUGGGGAAUAUUGCACAAUGGGCGCAAGCCUGAUGCAGCAACGCCGCGUGAGUGAAGAAGGCCUUCGGGUCGUAAAGCUCUGUCCUGUGGGAAGAAAAAAAUGACGGUACCACAGGAGGAAGCCCCGGCUAACUACGUGCCAGCAGCCGCAGUAA
RNAcentral lists this ribosomal RNA (497 nucleotides) under uncultured bacterium. RNAcentral's name for it is "partial 16S ribosomal RNA". It matches the Rfam family "Bacterial small subunit ribosomal RNA", at positions 28 to 523 of the family's 1533-position model. The record is from RNAcentral.